This 501-nucleotide ribosomal RNA is filed under the name Triticum aestivum (bread wheat). RNAcentral's name for it is "partial small subunit ribosomal RNA". The record is from RNAcentral. Lineage: Eukaryota; Viridiplantae; Streptophyta; Magnoliopsida; Poales; Poaceae.
AUGAUACGUAAUGCCCAAAAGGAAAAGCUCUUAACUGGACUUGCCCCUGACCUGAUUGAAAGGGGAGUAGCUAUCCUUCAGUAUGUAGAUGACACGGUCAUUUGUUUUGAACAUGAUAAGAAUGCUGCUGUAAACCUGAAACUUCUUUUAUACAUGUUCGAACUUAUGUCUAGGUUAAAGAUCAACUUCCUUAAAAGUGAGGUGCUUUGUGUAGGGGAUGAGGACACACUGGCGUUUUAUGUGGAUCUGUUCAACUGUAAAAUUGGGCAUUUUCCUAUGAAAUAUCUGGGAGUGCCAGUUAGCUUCUCUACACUGCGUGUCCUUGAAUGGGAUUUCAUGGACGAACGAUUCCUAAAAUGCUUUGAGGCCUGGAUUGGGAAUGUAGCUUCCUCGGGAGGGAGGCUUAUUCUGCUUCUCCUCGCUCAUGAGCAUUGUAUACUACUAUAUGGCUAUGUUUCUUCUUCCGAAGACGGUGAUAGUAAAACUAGACAAACACCGUAA